Molecule: ribosomal RNA, 445 nt
Filed under: uncultured bacterium
Lineage: Bacteria
Description: partial 16S ribosomal RNA
Rfam family: Bacterial small subunit ribosomal RNA
Source: RNAcentral
GUGAGGAAUAUUGGACAAUGGGCGCAAGCCUGAUCCAGCCAUGCCGCGUGCAGGAAGACGCAUCUAUGGUGUGUAAACUGCUUUUGUACGGGAAGAAACACUCCCUCGUGAGGGAGCUUGACGGUACCGUAAGAAUAAGGAUCGGCUAACUCCGUGCCAGCAGCCGCGGUAAUACGGAGGAUCCAAGCGUUAUCCGGAAUCAUUGGGUUUAACGGGUCCGUAGGCGGUUUAAUAAGUCAGUGGUGAAAGCCCAUCGCUCAACGAUGGAACGGCCAUUGAUACUGUUAGACUUGAAGUACAAGGAAGUAACUAGAAUAUGUAGUGUAGCGGUGAAAUGCUUAGAUAUUACAUGGAAUACCAAUUGCGAAGGCAGGUUACUACUUGUGGAUUGACGCUGAUGGACGAAAGCGUGGGGAGCGAACAGGAUUAGAAACCCCUGUAGUCC